Cygnus olor (mute swan) is the source of this 1582-nucleotide long non-coding RNA. RefSeq lists it as uncharacterized. Lineage: Eukaryota; Metazoa; Chordata; Aves; Anseriformes; Anatidae. The record is from RefSeq and is a predicted model, not a curated record. The transcript is spliced from 3 exons.
UUUGUACCAAAUUUAUAUAUUUUCUUUCUUCCUUUUUUAUUUACUUGUAUCAUUUUAAUCUAUACUUUGGUACUUCAGCCUUUUGGUACUUCAGCUUUUCUCCUCUAAGAAAUAAGAAAUUUCUCCUCUAAGAAAUAAGUUUCAAUGUUUUCCUUGUCUUAAGCUUUGAAAAAAGACCUGACUGUUGAAACUCUAUGCUGAGAAAAAUGCCUUCGGACACUGUGUUCCAACACAGGUAUUGCAGUCUAUUUCUCCUACCCUGUUGGCAAGCCAUAUUGUUUUCAUGUAGAGCUUCUGUCUCUUUCUUUGGCUAAAGUACACCAAUGGAGCAAAAGGGAGGAAGUAUCUUGAAAUCAGGUGUCCCAUGUCUACAAAAUCCCAUAAAGACAACUAGCAUUGAGAUCCAAUGCUUUCAGGCAGACCUGAGGUUGAUCUUGCCUUCACACUGUAUUAUUAGGACUUGCUUCCUGCCAGGCUGCACAUGAGACAAACUCCUCUGAUGAAAGUCAGGGAUAUAACUUCAGCCCUGAGACUUCACUGAAGAGCCAUGAGGGUGAAGGGAAAAGCAGAGAGAUGGGAUUGUAACUAUUUUGAUAUUUGAUAUUGCUACUUGGCAAUGAGGAAAGGGACACUGUGUACAUGCUUUGGCAUGCGCAAUCUGCAUUUCAUAUUUUAGCAUAACAUUCCCAUACUAGAUCCUAUAGGCAUGCUAUAAUGCAAGACUGUAGCCCUUACUACCUGUAAUUCCCACAGAAAUCAAUUAAACGUAAGGAUGGAUGACAAGAUAAAGAUUGUGCCAUUGGGUAUUAUUUGUAUGGGGAUAAAAUCUGAGAUUCACUUGGAUAAAACAAAUGAGAAUUUGAAGAAUCCUGGACAUUGAGAAAAAUUGAAAGAAUAUGAGUGUGAUUUCUCUCAAAUAUUUACAUUGUUAGCUGUUUGGAGACAAACAGCAGGGCAGCUUUUAUAAAUCUUUUCACUUUGUCAAGUUGUGAAUGAAAGCUGGAAAUAUAGAUAGGGCAUUUUCCUCUUAAAUUUUGAGCUAAUUAGCAAAGGUAUUGGAGUUAAGUUUGUGUGUUUGUUUGCUUGUUUUAGUAACGCUUUUUCAAUGAGAGAGAGGCACAAAAAAAAGAGUUUAGUACUCCUUAGUGAAUAAAAGUUUUUGGAGACAAAAUGAAAUGUAUAGAUCCCUUUACAUUUUAAUAUCCAGAUAUGGGAAGCUGGGCCUAGCAACAGAAAUGUGAGGUGAAAUUCCUAAACCAAUACUUAAGGAAUUUCUGUAUUAUAAUUGUGGCUAAAGAAUUUAAGUGAUGAAUAUGGCUACUUUCACAUGCUUGGAUAGUCACUACGUUUCUUUUGGUUUGUUUGCUUGGUUUUGUUUUAAAGAAGACAUUAAACACUCUACAUUCAUAAAGAAGGAGCUACAAAAAUGUGCAAUAUUUCAAACACAUACAUUAAACUCUUUCCAUGAUGAAGAUCUUCACAACAUUUUGUGGCAUUUCCUGUGAUGAUAAAAUAGUUUUCUGGAAGAUACAGGAUUCAUGCCUUACUUUUUAAUGCUGUUACUAAAGAUAAAUAAACUGAA